CGGAGCGGCAGACGGGAGAGUAACACGUGGGAACGUGCCCUUUGGUUCGGAAUAACUCAGGGAAACUUGAGCUAAUACCGGAUAAGCCCUUCGGGGGAAAGAUUUAUUGCCAUUGGAGCGGCCCGCGUCGGAUUAGCUAGUUGGUGAGGUAAUGGCUCACCAAGGCGACGAUCCGUAGCUGGUCUGAGAGGAUGACCAGCCUCACUGGGACUGAGACACGGCCCAGACUCCUACGGGAGGCAGCGGUGGGGAAUAUUGGACAAUGGGCGCAAGCCUGAUCCAGCCAUGCCGCGUGGAUGAUGAAGGCCCUAGGGUUGUAAAGUCCUUUUAACGGGGAAGAUAAUGACGGUACCCGUAGAAUAAGCCCCGGCUAACUUCGUGCCAGCAGCCGCGGUAAUACGAAGGGGGCUAGCGUUGCUCGGAAUUACUGGGCGUAAAGCGCACGUAGGCGGACCGAUAAGUCGGGGGUGAAAUCCUGGAGCUCAACUCCAGAACUGCCUUCGAAACUGCCGGUCUUGAGUUCGGGAGAGGUGAGUGGAACUGCGAGUGUAGAGGUGAAAUUCGUAGAUAUUCGCAAGAACACCAGUGGCGAAGGCGGCUCACUGGCCCGAUACUGACGCUGAGGUGCGAAAGCGUGGGGAGCAAACAGG
This 650-nucleotide ribosomal RNA is filed under the name uncultured bacterium. RNAcentral describes it as "bacterial SSU rRNA". It matches the Rfam family "Bacterial small subunit ribosomal RNA", at positions 91 to 776 of the family's 1533-position model. The record is from RNAcentral.